AUGGUUUGCUUCCCCAAGCGUCGCGAGCGGCUUUUAGGUUUUAUACUUGUUAUUUAGAGUCAGUUCAGUAGAUUCACCGCAUCUGACAAGUCUCGGAGUCAAUGGUCGGAAAGGUUUCAGGAGAAUAUAAUUUAUUACUCCUCGAAUUUUCCGAGAAGUAGAUUACUCGGGAAAUUCUUCGCAUCGUGUGGGGUCGCUGUUUUGUGAGGCUCUUUUCGUUGGCUGGGAGUAUAUUAUUGUGCGUUUCUAGAGACGGAGCUUCGUGAAGCCCUGCUUCGUGCACAGUGUGCCCUGGAUUAACCUUAGGUUUUGCAAUCCAGUGUCGAAUGUCGUCCUAGAUGUUGGAGAUUCUGGUUUCUACAACGUUAGCGAUGUAGCGUCUGUGUAAGUACUGGAUAGUGUGAUGAGCACAUCGAAACCUUCUGAACGAGUCGAGUUGGGAAACUCUUCAUGCUCGAUUCAAUUUUUUGUGAAGUUUAGCAGACCUCAAUUCUGGAGCUGUUGCAUCGUGCACGGAGACCAGGAGAAACGAAAUGGAUAACUGGAGUAAACCGAUUACGUUCUUUGAGGGUGGCACCUUAGGACUGCGCAUGUGAGCGCGAGUGUAAGUGAUGAAUUUAUGAAGUCGACCGUAUACUUCAGGGCUCCAGCAGGAUGGCAGGAGCUCUAGAAGCCUUCUUUACUUGAUGGCGGAAAAAGUGGCUAAUCUCUAAUGCUUCUGGGGAACCCUAGAGUUAAAUAGUGUUUUCGCAAGAGAAAGGCAAGGAAGCAAUGUCAUCCAGAACUCUAGCGGUAUAAUUGAAAGUUCAGAGGAGCUUGGGGAAUCGUGUAGGAGGCAUGAAAAUGGAAUUGGGAAGCUGAUCGUAUCAUGUGGAAGACUUAAAGAAUUAGUGUUCAAAUUAUUCCCCUAGAGAUUGAAAAAGCUGCAUAGGGACGAACAGCAGGAUUGGUGGUUCUGGUGAUUUGGAGAUUCGAGAAAGAGAGAACUACGAAACGGUGCUCGAAGAUUUGCAGGUUGUCAGAAUGAGCUAGUUCCUACUGUGAUCGUUGUCAAACCUGCCAACCUGGAGGAUAUUUCAGGGCAAGUUUCUGAGGGGCUGUAUAUGAGGUCAUCAUCUGGAGAGGAAGAACACUCAUCAAAUGGUGCCAAGCUUUGUCUUAAAGCAACUGAGGGAUUUAGCUGCUGAAGAAGGUGAUUUGGAAGCCAGGUUCCUGAGAAUUGAGCAUAUUGUCGAGGGUCAGGUUGAAUUUGAACAGCUAAUCAAUGAAAUGUGGUUCAGUAUGCGUGCUGAGAACGAAGCACAGGGGAUGGAAUGAAAAGAGAGUGGUUUUGAAAUGGAAAGAUAUGAGGAACAGAUUGAAGAUGAAGUUGGGAUAUUGCAGGGGAAGAUUCGGCGGCUAGAGGACGAGUUGCGUCUUAGUCUUUCUAGAAAGGACUUCGUCCUGCAGAAGAAGCAGAAUGAGAUCGACGACAUCAUGCAGAGCAUGCUAGGUAAUAAGCGCGUUAGUGAUGAAUCAAGACUGGAAGUUGCAGCUGACAGAGAUAGUACUGUAUCCAAUGAUUCGAUAGUGGUAGCUGCUACUUCAAAUCAACAGACCGCAGCUAGCCCGCAGAAGGCUGGCUUUCUUGCGUUUGAGGAGAUGGUUAAGGAAGGUGAUGAACAGGCGAAGAAAGAACGGCAUGUUACUCAUUCCACCUCGCAGGCACCCACCUCAGAGAAUGCUUUACAGCAAGAUCCGCAGGGGUCGCACGAGAAGGAACGUCAGUUGGAGAGUAGAUUUCUCGCCAUGGAGAGGGAGGUGAGUAGGGUCUCUAGUAUGCUAAGAGAGGCGGAGUUGGCCUUGUCCGUCGAGCAAGAGAGACGAAGAGAAGCACGUUUGGAAGUGGAUCAAGUGCUAGAAAAUUUGAAGGAAGAAAAGAGGAUUCGAGGUGAAUAUGAAGAGAAGCUGAAAAGGUUAACGUCUUUUCUGAAGAGUAUGAAGGAGAAGUUAACGCCUGAUGUUGAGGAUGCUGAGGAAGACGUCGCGAGCAAGCUAGCAUCUGUCUCGAAGGACCUGGACAAGGAGCUGCAAAGGAUGAGUUCCAAGAAGCUUAGUAAAAGAAGGUCUGAACUAAUCGAACAGUCCACUCGAUGGAAGUUGCAACGGGAUGCAGCAGUGAAAGAUAGGGAUAAUCUGGAAGAGAAGCUUAAUUUGCAGUUGAAAAGCGAAAGGGAUAGAGAAGCAGAGAUGGAGGCGAUGUGGGUGGAGAGAGAGAAGAAUUUGAUCAUAAAAUGCAGUCACUUGGAGGCUGCCGUCGGUCACUGGGAGUCGAAAUACAAGAAACGGGACACCGAAGCGUUGCAAGAAAGGAAACUUUCUGACAUUGAGCUGGAAGCAUAUCGUACACAAUGGUCUGAUGAGAAAGCUGGUUGGGAAGCGUUCGUUUUGAAACGGGAGCAAUGGCUUGAGGAGCAAGUUAUGAAGUGGACAUCUUUGCUUGAUGCCAAGGAUCGAGGAUUGAGUUCUCUCAAGCAGGAGCUCGAAGAGUUGGAGAUAUCGUUUAAAAAUGUUAAGCAUGCAUUAGAGAAUCCUCACCAGGUUCACGAUCAGCCGAAACAGAUGCUAGAAACUUGUUCACAAACGGAUGCAUCAUGUGAGAGUUUCAAAGCAGACAGGAGUUCGGAAGAUAGUGAUGGAGAAAGCUGCCAGAGCGUUGAGAAAAUUGUCCAUGAGGUUGACACAAUUGAGGAUGAACAAGUUGCAGAACUAGAUCCUGGAAUAUGUUGCAUAGAGAAACUUAGACGAGAGAAAGAGGAACUUGAGGAAAAAGUUUCCAAUACCCCAACGCUGAUGGAAGAGAUGCAGACUGAGUUUCAGAAUAAAUUGAAGCAGUUUGACAUUGAGAAAAAGAAUCUGGAGGUAAAAUUAUCAUCUAAGACAGCUGAGGCAGAGGACCUGGUAGCACAUCUCAAUGCUAGAGAACGUCAAAUUGAGGCUCUCAUGCAGAAGUUUAGAAACGAAGUGUUGAGCAUUGAUAGAGAAGUUGAGAAAGAAAGGAAAGAAAGAGAAGAAGUGAUGGAAAUGCAUUUUGCUGGAAAGCGCCGUCUUGUUGCAGAAAUCCGUGAGAAAGAAGAAAGUUGGCAAAACGAUCUGGAUGCAAUCACGCAAGAGUUGCUUGAAUCAAGAGAGUGGGCCAGGCAGAAAGAAGAGGAUAUUAUUAAUUUAAAGGAAGAUUUAGAAGCACUUGAUGAGCAGAAGAAAGAUGAGGAGGAGAGAUUAUCUAGAAGGAUCCAUUCUUUGUUGAAAGAAAAGGAUGCUCUGACGGCUGCACUCGAGCAAGAACAAAGGACUCGGGAAGCAGCUGAGGCUGAAUAUCAGAGGCUCGAGGAGGAGCAUAUCAUACUUCUUGAGGAGUUGAGUGCCGAACGACAAAGGAAGCUGGAGGGCACUGAUUCCUGGGGUAACUCUAACCUGCAGGCAGCUGUUUGUCGUGUAGCCAAUGUUGAUAAACAAAUUGAGGAAGCUAUGGAUGCAAUUGUAAGCUUAAGAGAAGAGCUGGAUAAUAAAGAAACACAACUUAUUCAGGCUAAGAUGGAUAAAGAGGCUGAGUGGGAGAGACGUCAAGCAGCUUUGGUUCAAGAAUAUAAGGAAAUGCUAAGCAUGCGAGAACAAAAAUGGCAGCAGGGGUGGAUGCGUAAGGAGCAAGAACUCCUAGCUGCAAACGACAAAAUACUGCAUCAACUAGCCGACGAACGUGGGGAAACAGCAUUAGUGCGAGGAGCCCUAAGAGAGCUGGAAUGGUCUAUCAAGCAUGGUGACAUCGAUGUUAAAGCCAAGUUAGCGAAUAUAUCUAAGAAGGAAGGAAUGGUGAAGGUACAUGCAUCGCACUUGGAGGAGGUGGAUCAGUAUAUACUGGAUCUUCAAAAAAAAUUGGAAGAGUCGGAGAAGAAACGAAAAAGUGCUGAGAUUGCUGCAUCAGUACGAGAAUUGAAAAGAGGAGCUAGCCUUGAUGCUGUUCUCAUUCAAGGGGACAGGGACAGGUCGUUACCAAACAUGGUCAGGCAUGACGGACUUCUCACAUCACAUCUUUCUUUGGAGGGUGGAACGGAAAGCUUGCGAAUACGCACAAAAUCUUCUCUUGGAGAUAGAAAUGGGCGUAGUUUUUCCAGUAUCAGGGAGAUCCAGCCAGCCGCAUACUGGGAUGUCGAAAAUCUCAGCGGUGCUGGGCGUCACGGUGGCAGUGUCGGCUCUAGCACUAGUCACGGUCAGCCUCGCGAUGAUUACUCUCUUUCAGUCUUGCCUCCUGUUUCACCUGGACGACGGCAGCAAAAGUGGCUUGUUGAUGCUGCUUGGUUGGAAAAUGUCCGCAAGGAGCAAACAUUUUUACGGCAACAGCUUGAAAUUGAGCGACAGCGGCUCUGUUCAUUUGGUCAGGUCGAUGCGGAGAAUAGGUUGAUAGAAGCAGCGGUUGUACGGGCUAUGGAGGAGAAGCACGAGAGCGAGUCCAAAGUCCUGGAUUUGCAACAGGAGGUGCGCUGGUCCCAACCAAAUCCUCUCUUCUUUUGCACUCCCGGUUUGCAUGCUAUAACAAGCUGCUCAUCACCCAGAGGCCCUUCGACAAAGGAUCUGUCAAGCCAUAAUUCAGUAUUCCCGAAACUUUCAGGAGAAUUGUGAAGGUCAUUACAGUGAUUUAAAACGUCAAUGUGCUGUUCCCGUUCAGGGGAAGCUAUCCCACCGGCUGUUAUCUGUGCUUUUUGGUAUUAAUGCUGCGGAAGAUGCUGGCUGCCAGGUCCGAGACAGCCUGUUGAUUACAUUCUUAGUUUGAAAUGUACCAUGUGUCAGCUUGCUGCAAAUUUUGUAGAGCACAUUCACAGAUGGGGAACGAGCUACGUUUUUCUAGCACUUCUAAGAGUUCAUGAUUCACUCAUGAUUGUGAUAAAAAUCACACUUGAAGUGGACUUCCAAAUUUACUACUAUGUGUGAUCUCGUAUCAUGCAUGCACACUGGUUCUCAGCGAUUUGCGAAGUACCUACGGCUGCUGAUCUUUUCCAGAUGAUAACUCUGGAAACCUGAAGAGUUUAUUUUGGCCAUCUUUGAGUGGCUACUGUACUUACCCACCAAAGCAGGAAAGUUUUGGGUAGGGUUGAUACUGUUUCCUUGUGUAUCAUGUAUCCACUAUUACAUAAUCACUUUCCUCACAAAGAGGAAAUCUCUAAAGCAGACGUUCAUUUCUA
Molecule: RNA transcript, 5216 nt
Organism: Physcomitrium patens
Lineage: Eukaryota; Viridiplantae; Streptophyta; Bryopsida; Funariales; Funariaceae
Source: RefSeq, a predicted model, not a curated record